Molecule: ribosomal RNA, 35 nt
Filed under: Escherichia coli
Lineage: Bacteria; Pseudomonadati; Pseudomonadota; Gammaproteobacteria; Enterobacterales; Enterobacteriaceae
Also listed under: 2 other names
Source: RNAcentral
GUCCCACCUGACCCCAUGCCGAACUCAGAAGUGAA